AAUAAGUGUAGCCAUGGUUUUUCACACCCAACUUUAAUCGUUCGUCUUAUUUAAAAAAAAUUUAAAAAAAUUAAAAACAUAAGUCACGAGUAAAGUACUAUUCAUGUUUUAUCAUCUCAUAACAACAAAAAUGCUAAUUAUAAAAAAAAUUAAAUAAGACAGAUGAUCAAAGUUAGGCACGAAAACUCAUGACCACUUAUU
This 201-nucleotide microRNA precursor is filed under the name Oryza glumipatula. RNAcentral describes it as "MIR812 microRNA precursor family". It matches the Rfam family "MIR812 microRNA precursor family". Lineage: Eukaryota; Viridiplantae; Streptophyta; Magnoliopsida; Poales; Poaceae. The record is from Rfam by way of RNAcentral.